CUUCACGGAGCCCAGCAGCAGCGGCCGGUCCUCGCUGUGGUCGCGGCCGUACGUGGCCAGCAGGGCCUGUGCCUC
RNAcentral lists this antisense RNA (75 nucleotides) under Streptomyces lavendulae subsp. lavendulae. RNAcentral's name for it is "ASpks TB sRNA". It matches the Rfam family "ASpks TB sRNA". The record is from Rfam by way of RNAcentral. Lineage: Bacteria; Bacillati; Actinomycetota; Actinomycetes; Kitasatosporales; Streptomycetaceae.